Molecule: long non-coding RNA, 139 nt
Organism: Herpailurus yagouaroundi (jaguarundi)
Lineage: Eukaryota; Metazoa; Chordata; Mammalia; Carnivora; Felidae
Exons: 3
Source: RefSeq, a predicted model, not a curated record
AGACCAUGGGGGAGGGGAAGGGGAAAAAUAGUUUUAAACAGUGAGAGGGACAAACCACAAGAGAGCCUUAAAUACAGAGAACAAACUGAGGGUUGAUGGAGGGGACAUGGGUGGGGGAUGGGUGAAAUAGGUGAAGGGG